GACGAUCGCUGGCGGCGUGCUUAACACAUGCAAGUCGAACGGAAAGGCCCUGCUUUUGUGGGGUGCUCGAGUGGCGAACGGGUGAGUAACACGUGAGUAACCUGCCCUUGACUUUGGGAUAACUUCAGGAAACUGGGGCUAAUACCGGAUAGGAGCUCCUGCUGCAUGGUGGGGGUUGGAAAGUUUCGGCGGUUGGGGAUGGACUCGCGGCUUAUCAGCUUGUUGGUGGGGUAGUGGCUUACCAAGGCUUUGACGGGUAGCCGGCCUGAGAGGGUGACCGGCCACAUUGGGACUGAGAUACGGCCCAGACUCCUACGGGAGGCAGCAGUGGGGAAUAUUGCACAAUGGGCGGAAGCCUGAUGCAGCAACGCCGCGUGCGGGAUGACGGCCUUCGGGUUGUAAACCGCUUUCGCCUGUGACGAAGCGUGAGUGACGGUAAUGGGGAAAGAAGCACCGGCUAACUACGU
This 467-nucleotide ribosomal RNA is filed under the name uncultured bacterium. RNAcentral describes it as "partial 16S ribosomal RNA". It matches the Rfam family "Bacterial small subunit ribosomal RNA", at positions 28 to 506 of the family's 1533-position model. The record is from RNAcentral.